ACGGAGGGUGCAAGCGUUAUCCGGAUUCACUGGGUUUAAAGGGUGCGUAGGCGGACAGGUAAGUCAGUGGUGAAAUCUCCGAGCUUAACUCGGAAACUGCCGUUGAUACUAUUUGUCUUGAAUAUUGUGGAGGUAAGCGGAAUAUGUCAUGUAGCGGUGAAAUGCUUAGAUAUGACAUAGAACACCAAUUGCGUAGGCAGCUUACUACACGAUCAUUGACGCUGAGGCACGAAAGCGUGGGGAGCAAACAGGA
RNAcentral lists this ribosomal RNA (253 nucleotides) under uncultured prokaryote. RNAcentral describes it as "partial 16S ribosomal RNA". It matches the Rfam family "Bacterial small subunit ribosomal RNA", at positions 525 to 777 of the family's 1533-position model. The record is from RNAcentral.